RNAcentral lists this ribosomal RNA (463 nucleotides) under Klebsiella pneumoniae. RNAcentral describes it as "partial 23S ribosomal RNA". It matches the Rfam family "Bacterial large subunit ribosomal RNA", at positions 1281 to 1746 of the family's 2925-position model. Lineage: Bacteria; Pseudomonadati; Pseudomonadota; Gammaproteobacteria; Enterobacterales; Enterobacteriaceae. RNAcentral also lists the same sequence under 4 other names. The record is from RNAcentral.
AUCAGAAGUGCGAAUGCUGACAUAAGUAACGAUAAAGCGGGUGAAAAGCCCGCUCGCCGGAAGACCAAGGGUUCCUGUCCAACGUUAAUCGGGGCAGGGUGAGUCGACCCCUAAGGCGAGGCCGAAAGGCGUAGUCGAUGGGAAACAGGUUAAUAUUCCUGUACUUGGUGUUACUGCGAAGGGGGGACGGAGAAGGCUAUGUUAGCCGGGCGACGGUUGUCCCGGUUUAAGCAUGUAGGCUGGUUAUCCAGGCAAAUCCGGAUAAUCAAGGCUGAGGUGUGAUGACGAGGCACUACGGUGCUGAAGUAACAAAUGCCCUGCUUCCAGGAAAAGCCUCUAAGCAUCAGGUAACAUCAAAUCGUACCCCAAACCGACACAGGUGGUCAGGUAGAGAAUACCAAGGCGCUUGAGAGAACUCGGGUGAAGGAACUAGGCAAAAUGGUGCCGUAACUUCGGGAGAAGG